RNAcentral lists this ribosomal RNA (492 nucleotides) under uncultured bacterium. RNAcentral describes it as "partial 16S ribosomal RNA". It matches the Rfam family "Bacterial small subunit ribosomal RNA", at positions 29 to 507 of the family's 1533-position model. The record is from RNAcentral.
AGUGAACGCUGGCGGUAGGCCUAACACAUGCAAGUCGAACGGCAGCACAGUAAGAGCUUGCUCUUACGGGUGGCGAGUGGCGGACGGGUGAGGAAUACACCGGAAUCUACUUUUUCGUGGGGGAUAACGUAGGGGAACUUACGCUAAUACCGCAUACGACCUACGGGUGAAAGCAGGGGAUCUUCGGACCUUGCGCGAUUGAAUGAGCCGAUGUCGGAUUAGCUAGUUGGCGGGGUAAAGGCCCACCAAGGCGACGAUCCGUAGCUGGUCUGAGAGGAUGAUCAGCCACACUGGAACUGAGACACGGUCCAGACUCCUACGGGAGGCAGCAGUGGGGAAUAUUGGACAAUGGGCGCAAGCCUGAUCCAGCUAUACCGCGUGGGUGAAGAAGGCCUUCGGGUUGUAAAGCCCUUUUGUUGGGAAAGAAAAGCAGCAGGUUAAUACCCCGCUGUUCUGACGGUACCCAAAGAAUAAGCACCGGCUAACUUCGUG